RNAcentral lists this transfer RNA (87 nucleotides) under Gammaproteobacteria bacterium. Its description in RNAcentral is "tRNA-Leu". It matches the Rfam family "tRNA". From Rfam's summary of the family: Transfer RNA (tRNA) molecules are approximately 80 nucleotides in length. Their secondary structure includes four short double-helical elements and three loops (D, anti-codon, and T loops). RNAcentral also lists the same sequence under 2 other names. The record is from RNAcentral. Lineage: Bacteria; Pseudomonadati; Pseudomonadota; Gammaproteobacteria.
GCCGAGAUGGCGGAACUGGUAGACGCGCCAGACUCAAAAUCUGGUGGGGGCAACCUCGUGAGAGUUCGAUUCUCUCUCUCGGCACCA